ACAGAGCCAAGCAGUCUUUCCUCUACUGCCUGCUCUUGCGCUCUUUCAAUUCCUAGCCUGUGGUCUCUAUGAAUGCAGUAUAAUUUAAAUACCCAAGGAACUAUGAUAAUUUUCUGUCAGUAAGACGUGUGCUACGUUCCCAGUGGUUGUUGGUGUCUGUGGCGGUGCUCUUGGGUUACUUGGGUUUUGCUUUGUUUAAGGCACGUGGGGUUGGUGGUGAGUUCUCCAGUGUGACUGGAUCCUGGAGCACCUUGUCUGCAGCUCUGAGGAGGCUGGGACUGCCUCACAGCAUUUGGCUGAGGUGGCCUCCUUUGCAGAAUGGAUUGCUGGUAGUGCCAGUCGUAAUUAGGUUUUCUAAACACUUUAUUGUUAAAUCUCUGUCUUAUAUUACUUCUAACUUAGCCAGUCUUAUCAGGCUGAAAUCUCCUGCAGUAGGUGUAGCUUAAUGCUGACUUGCUAAAAGCUAAAAUUCUCGUGCCAUUUCUGGGAACACUGUUUGGGACAGCUGCUUAGGUUGUGUUGUGCCCUUGAAAAUCUUACUGUGCUGUACUGUUGGUAUUUAUUUAUUUAUUUGCUUUUGCAAUUGAUGAAGGACUUAAAACUCAUUGAGAAGGUAAGGCUUGAAAUGUGUCUUUUGCCGUUUGUGUGAUUAAAACCACUUGUGAAACUACAAGUCUUUGAAGAAUUCAGGCCACGCAAACUGGGAAAAGCCCUAGAGCUUGAUGUCUGCGCUCUUUUUAGAGGGUAUGACUUGUCCUGGUCUGCAAAUGGUGAAGAAAGCUCUACCCUCAAUCACUGCUCCGCACCGCAGUAACCUGCUGCAGACCCAGCCGCUAGGCACAAGUGGUGGCUCCCCCCUGCCCCUCUCUCCCUCAAACCUUAGCAUGGGAGUUGUUCUUACUUGAUUGUCACAUGCUAUUGUUUUUUACAGAAUCCAUAUCUCAUUCAUUGUCCUGGAGAGGUGGGUGCUCCUACCUGGAAGAAAAGUAAGAUGCCUGCGGUUCUUGAAGAAGCUAGGAGGUGGAUACUGAGAGAAGGGAAAGAAGGGAAAGGAAAGAACCAAAGGAAAAAGACUCUCAUCUGAAUGCUGAGAAACAUGGGCUGGAUGAAGGGCCUGGCAGGCAGAUUGGAGGCCCUUUGACCUUCUGGACUCAAAAAAGUCAUACAGAGUAGGAGGAACCUAUGGAACGUGCCUGUUACAAUUCCAUGAAAGAACCCACGCAGAAGGUGAAACGCUGGCCAAUUCCAUCCACUGCAGAUGUGUUAGGGAGAUUUCCCUGGCCCUGUCUACUGCUAGCCUUUUCUCUCCAGACAAGGAGCAAUGGUCUAAAACUUAAAUGUAGGAAGGUCCAUGCAAACAUGCAGAAGAACUUCUUUAUGGUAAAGGUGAUGGUGCCUGGAACAGGUUGCCCAGAGAGAUUGUAGAGUCUUCUUCUACGGAGAUAUUCAAUACCUGCCUGGAUGCCUACCUGUGCGACCUGCUGUAGGGAACCUGCUUUAGGAGGGGGGUCAGACUCCAUGAUCUCUUGAGGUCCCUCCCAUCCCCUGCAAUUCUGUGAUUCAGUGAUUCUCUCUCUCCAGCCCACUUGGCAUGCAAGUAGGGCUCAUUGUAGGAUCCUUGGACCACAAACAAAGCAAGCUUGCUUAGCUGUUCUCCUGACCUCCUUACCUUGUUUUCCACGAGCACCUCCUUACCCCUGCAAUGUGAUCUCCUGCUCACACGCUGUUUUCACAGCAACGUGUACUGGGUGUGACGUGCUGAGCAACACGCAAACAGCAAUUUCACUUCUCAGGAAGUUCCUCUGGCUUGACAGCUCAUGCUGUUGACUCAUGACAGAUCUUUAACCUGGAGAACCACUGUUCCAGACCCAGUUUUUCUGGAGGACAGGACUGCGCUGUGCGCUUGAGCUGCGCUGUGUGUGCGCUGUGUAUUUCAGAAGUAUGCACCAAGUGUUGGAUGGCUGCUAAGUGUUGUAUUGAUUCACACCCACAUAGCAACUGAGAUGUGCAGCUUAUGGUAGGAACACUAAACCCCCCAUUUGUUCACAAUACAUUCACAGAUGCAGAAGCCAUAAGGUAUUUUUGUGAAGGCAAUGAAACGUGCAUGGCAAAAAUCCUUGUAAAUUGGUAAUGGUUAAAUUUCACCAUUAUUGCUUAUUCAGCC
Gallus gallus (chicken) is the source of this 2164-nucleotide long non-coding RNA. Lineage: Eukaryota; Metazoa; Chordata; Aves; Galliformes; Phasianidae. The record is from Ensembl.